Non-coding RNA from Biomphalaria pfeifferi, 253 nucleotides. The record is from the annotation of a GenBank genome assembly. NCBI's taxonomy places the organism in Eukaryota, Metazoa, Mollusca, Gastropoda, Planorbidae.
UAUUGUUUAGGAUCCUCAUUUUAUUUACAUAAAAGACACUUUUAAAAUAACUUCUUACAAAUAUCAGAAUCUAAACACUUCAAAGCUAAAAACAAAGCAUAUUCUAAUUGAAUCAAAACUCCAUGGAAGAUAACAUCAUCUUGCUAAACAUUUAUUAGCUUUGCCCCAAAUUUAGCACCACACUAAGGCUAUCAUCAUAAUUUCUGUUUCUGAAGAGAAAGUAAUUCAAUAGCAGAUUGCUUAGACAAACAAG